CGGGUGAGUAAUGUCUGGGAAACUGCCUGAUGGAGGGGGAUAACUACUGGAAACGGUAGCUAAUACCGCAUAACGUCGCAAGACCAAGGAGGGGGACCUUCGGGCCUCUUGCCAUCGGAUGUGCCCAGAUGGGAUUAGCUAGUAGGUGGGAUAACGGCUCACCUAGGCGACGAUCCCUAGCUGGUCUGAGAGGAUGACCAGCCACACUGGAACUGAGACACGGUCCAG
This 228-nucleotide ribosomal RNA is filed under the name uncultured bacterium. RNAcentral describes it as "partial 16S ribosomal RNA". It matches the Rfam family "Bacterial small subunit ribosomal RNA", at positions 103 to 334 of the family's 1533-position model. The record is from RNAcentral.